ACGGAGGGUGCAAGCGUUAAUCGGAAUCACUGGGCGUAAAGCGCACGUAGGCGGCUUGGUAAGUCAGGGGUGAAAUCCCACAGCCCAACUGUGGAACUGCCUUUGAUACUGUCAGGCUUGAGUACCGGAGAGGGUGGCGGAAUUCCAGGUGUAGGAGUGAAAUCCGUAGAUAUCUGGAGGAACACCGGUGGCGAAGGCGGCCACCUGGACGGUAACUGACGCUGAGGUGCGAAAGCGUGGGUAGCAAACAG
RNAcentral lists this ribosomal RNA (251 nucleotides) under uncultured bacterium. RNAcentral describes it as "partial 16S ribosomal RNA". It matches the Rfam family "Bacterial small subunit ribosomal RNA", at positions 525 to 775 of the family's 1533-position model. The record is from RNAcentral.